RNAcentral lists this long non-coding RNA (375 nucleotides) under Malus domestica (apple). Its description in RNAcentral is "long non-coding RNA (MDOM_LNC003107)". The record is from RNAcentral. Lineage: Eukaryota; Viridiplantae; Streptophyta; Magnoliopsida; Rosales; Rosaceae.
UUCAUAAUAUGCAGCCAAGCAUCACUCAAAGUCUGCGAGACUUUGAGAAUAAUAAUAAGAAGGGAAUUAGAAGAUAGUUUUAAAUUCGCAUAACGAUUAGAGGAGUUUGAUCACUUAGAACCUGAGGGGUCGCACACCCAAAAAUUACAUAAUGGUGGAAUAAUUAAUAUGAUUAAUUAGCUCUUAAAUGCCAUAAUUGGGCCUCAAAAUGGUUUUGGGAUUAAUCCAGGCAAUCGAGCUCACUUGGAGGUAAGGCCCAAAAGGCCCCAUGACCGGUUUUGGUGAGAGAGAGUGUGUCCAUGUGAAUUUAUUUUUUUAUUUUUAUGUUUUUUAGAGUAAAUUGUAACAAUGAUCUCUCAAUUUAAAUCAAAUUAG